CACCAGAUGACCCAGAGGCUACAAGACUCCACAAAGAAGCUGACAUUUCAACUCCAGACAUAUUUGGGGAGAUUGGAUUUUGAUUCCCAUUUCCAAAGGUUGCCCUGGGGCGUCAGACGCUGGGAGUUUAAAGUGGUGCCUUCGCUGUGACAGCGUCGAAGAAGCUGAAAUGUGACUUCACCCUAGAACAUCAACAGAGGGAAAAAAAAACCUAAAUGUGAUCGCCCAACAUGAUUGCACAACAGAUAAUAUGUCACUCACUCGUUAUCCUUUGUGCUGCCCGGAUUUCCUUAGGUGAACCACAGACCAAAGGAAAAAUCUCCAACAAUCUACAGAAGGGCAGAAAUCAACAAGAGAAAUGUGUGGGUAAUUGUCAUGUCAGUGGAAAGGACUGCACCGAGCCCUGUGACCGUCCCUUCCAUGGAAAGAUGACUUUUGGUUGCCCGAGAGGAUGGUGGCAGAAGUCGACAGAGACAUGCGCCAAUCUGGAUGUCCAAUCGCUU
This is a long non-coding RNA of Gekko japonicus, 503 nucleotides long. RefSeq lists it as uncharacterized. The record is from RefSeq and is a predicted model, not a curated record. NCBI's taxonomy places the organism in Eukaryota, Metazoa, Chordata, Lepidosauria, Squamata, Gekkonidae. The transcript has 4 exons.